Molecule: ribosomal RNA, 253 nt
Filed under: uncultured bacterium
Lineage: Bacteria
Description: partial 16S ribosomal RNA
Rfam family: Bacterial small subunit ribosomal RNA
Source: RNAcentral
UACGUAGGGUGCGAGCGUUAAUCGGAAUUACUGGGCGUAAAGUGUGCGCAGGCGGCCGAGCAAGUCGAGUGUGAAAGCCCCGAGCUUAACUUGGGAACUGCGCUCGAAACUACUUGGCUAGAGUGUGGCAGAGGGAGGUGGAAUUCCAGGUGUAGCGGUGAAAUGCGUAGAUAUCUGGAGGAAUACCGGUGGCGAAGGCGGCAUCCUGGACCGAUAUUGACACUGAUGAGCGAAAGCCAGGGGAGCAAACGGG